CCGACUUCGGACCUGCGGCUUCAUCCCGGAUACCACUCGGCUAGAGGCGCCGACGGUGUCCCAAACCGCUUUCUUUUUCCAUUUAAAGCCAAAAUCCUUCUUUGAACCCAAAUUUCGAUGGAUUCCGAUUUAAAUGCCGAUUCAUCUUCCCUUCCUUAAUAGAUCGAGACGUCCUCACCAAGGGCGACACCCAAGGAAAAAUACACUUCCCCACUUAAAAUUUCAAAGGUCUUCAACACAAAAUCUGCAAAGCUAACUGUCGAUUCUGAGCAGUCUCAAAUCUGUCUCUAAUAACUGCGACUGAAUCACUGAUUCUAAACCAACUCUGGACCUGCGAUUUUCUGAUCUCUGAUCUCAUCUCAACGACAGAAGUUCUGUACACUCUGCUCUGCACGGAUUAAAAAGAAACUAUCUGACCGAUCUACUGAAACUGGGAACCUCUGGUCAAGAUCUGAUAUAACUCUGACACUGAUCUCGGCAACUGCAAUCACUGACUACUGUACUGACCCUGGCCUGUGAUCUUUCUUUCCCUGACUCCAUCUCAGCAAUUGAAAUUAUGUACCCUCUGCUAUACACUGCUUAAUAAAGAACCCUCUGAAAACUUUGCCAAAUUUACAAUCUUUGAUCUAGAUUUGAAAUAUAAUUCAUCCCCGGUACUCCAUGCCGGCGAAUUAUCUGAUGCACACACACUUCGGUAUACCCCUUUCUGUGACAAUAUAGGAUCUUCAAUUUCUGAAAUCGAACUUAGAUUGGCGGUUAAUUUCACUCCGACACGCUUUUAGUGUGACCUAGGCUAUUGGGUAGUGUUCAGAGCUUUUUAGGACAAAUGACCCGUGGUCGAUUUUCUUCGAGCCACAAUAAACCCACUCGACCCAUUGGUGACUCUCGAUUGUCGUGAAAAUCUCCAAGAUUCAAAUACGGACACAGGGUACCAAAACAACAGUAAAAUCAAAUUAGUACCGGUCGAUGAGAGUUUUCCAAUUUAGUGGAGUCACCCACGAUCGGUCAUUCAUCUCAGUCAAACCGAUCUAUCUCUGAUUUCAAAUCGGUUUUAUACUGUGCCGCAAUGAUCUCUAAAGAUGAGCACGGUCGAGAAGUCGAUCCCUGGUCGAAUUCUCAAGUCUAUUUGCCUUAAGGUCCUUAAUAACUCACCCAGCUAGUCUAGUUAUCUCAUGAGUGGCCAACUCAGAGAAAAACACUGUAAUCGCGUUGAUGAAAUGCCCGAUUUAUCUAAUCGAAAUCAGAGCCCGAAAUCUGGAUGUUACACACUCAAAAUAAGAUCUUCUGAACAUCUCUGUCUGUCAACUAGGCGCUGAUUCUAACUUGAACAUUUGGUUCAUCUUGAGGGUGGCUAUAAAUUCAAAAGGU
RNAcentral lists this long non-coding RNA (1368 nucleotides) under Eucalyptus grandis. RNAcentral's name for it is "long non-coding RNA (EGRA_LNC007791)". The record is from RNAcentral. Lineage: Eukaryota; Viridiplantae; Streptophyta; Magnoliopsida; Myrtales; Myrtaceae.